UAAACUAGUCAUUCAACACCUAAUGCAUCAAGUUGUCAUCAACUUGUCCAUUUUAAACUAGAUUAAUUAGAAUGAAACUAAAGAGAAACCUUGCUGUUACAGCAAGCAUAUGUGCUGCAGCAUGUCAUCAAGCUGCAUGCACUUCAACCACAAAAUGUAACAGCAGCAUGGUUGGCCAAUUUCCAAUACUCCUCCUUGGACUCCAUGCUGCAAAUACCAGUCAUUCAUCAAGUUUUUUGAACUUGGCAGCUCUUAGAUGCUUUGAUUCAAGCUGACCAAUUCAUUUUCUUCUUGCACAAACAGUUCGUGAGUAUAGUUGCUUGCCUUCAUUCUGCCAUUUUGGCUUGCAAUUCGACAGGCUCACACUUUGCUUACUGUCUUCAAGAGGCUUGCAACUAUACAACACGCAUUGAGCUUCCACAUGUUGCUGAGCUCACACCUUUGACAGACUCACAUCUUUGCAUAUUGUCUUCAACAGGUGUCUUCAUCAGGCUCGCACUUUGCUAAGCUUGCAGCUUUGACAUCUUGCUAAGCUUGCACAUUUGGAAAGCUCACACCUUUCCUUUAAACUCCUCCAGCUUAUUCAAGCUAGUUUGGGGAUCUUAUAAGUUUGAGCCGAUAUUAUCUUCUCUACAAGCAGUCCUUAAUGACUUGCUUGUGCUUUGACAGCUUCUUUCUUUUCAACAAGCAGGGGAAGCAAAAUCAAUGGUCUCGUAAGACAUAGGCUCAUGAUACCAAUUGUUGGUGCAAGAGGCAGCAACAAAAGAGAGAACAAGAGCACAGAACAUGAAGCAAGGUGCAAGAAGCAUUUUUACUUGCUCACAAAUGUGCAGCAAGGGAGCUAAUGGCUGAUAGCUCAUUCAGCUCAUUCAUUCAACUAGAAAAAACAUACAUUUAUAGUCAAAUACAUCACCAAAUAGUCAACUAACCCCACUAAUCAGCAUUGGGACUAUUAAAACAUUGCUUGUACACAUAAACAAGCCCCCUAAACUAGUCAUUCAACACCUAAUGCAUCAAGUUGUCAUCAACUUGUCCAUUUUAAACUAGAUUAAUUAGAAUGAAACUAAAGAGAAACCUUGCUGUUACAGCAAGCAUAUGUGCUGCAGCAUGUCAUCAAGCUGCAUGCACUU
Molecule: long non-coding RNA, 1130 nt
Filed under: Gossypium barbadense (sea-island cotton)
Lineage: Eukaryota; Viridiplantae; Streptophyta; Magnoliopsida; Malvales; Malvaceae
Description: long non-coding RNA (GBAR_LNC021173)
Source: RNAcentral